This 468-nucleotide ribosomal RNA is filed under the name uncultured bacterium. Its description in RNAcentral is "partial 16S ribosomal RNA". It matches the Rfam family "Bacterial small subunit ribosomal RNA", at positions 28 to 507 of the family's 1533-position model. The record is from RNAcentral.
GACGAACGCUGGCGGCGUGCUUAACACAUGCAAGUCGAACGGAAAGGCCCUGCUUUUGUGGGGUGCUCGAGUGGCGAACGGGUGAGUAACACGUGAGUAACCUGCCCUUGACUUUGGGAUAACUUCAGGAAACUGGGGCUAAUACCGGAUAGGAGCUCCUGCUGCAUGGUGGGGGUUGGAAAGUUUCGGCGGUUGGGGAUGGACUCGCGGCUUAUCAGCUUGUUGGUGGGGUAGUGGCUUACCAAGGCUUUGACGGGUAGCCGGCCUGAGAGGGUGACCGGCCACAUUGGGACUGAGAUACGGCCCAGACUCCUACGGGAGGCAGCAGUGGGGAAUAUUGCACAAUGGGCGGAAGCCUGAUGCAGCAACGCCGCGUGCGGGAUGACGGCCUUCGGGUUGUAAACCGCUUUCGCCUGUGACGAAGCGUGAGUGACGGUAAUGGGUAAAGAUGCACCGGCUAACUACGUA